This 275-nucleotide unclassified non-coding RNA is filed under the name Hevea brasiliensis (rubber tree). The record is from RNAcentral. Lineage: Eukaryota; Viridiplantae; Streptophyta; Magnoliopsida; Malpighiales; Euphorbiaceae.
UUAGCUGAGGAGGAUAAAAGGCUUGUUGCAUACUUGGAAGACAUGUACGAGGACUCGAAAGGGAACAAGAUGGUUAUGGUACGAUGGUUUCACAAAAUUGAUGAGGUUGGUAUUGCUUUGCCUCACAAUUUUAAUGACAGAGAGCUUUUCUUUUCUCUUUGUCGUGAAAAUCUCAGUAUUGAAUGCGUAGAUGGAAUGGCCACCAUCCUCAGUCCCCAGCAUUUUGAGAAGUUCCUAAAUGAGGCGUCACACACUAUGUUGGAUCCAUUUGUUUG